Molecule: ribosomal RNA, 248 nt
Filed under: uncultured Muribaculaceae bacterium
Lineage: Bacteria; Pseudomonadati; Bacteroidota; Bacteroidia; Bacteroidales; Muribaculaceae
Description: partial 16S ribosomal RNA
Rfam family: Bacterial small subunit ribosomal RNA
Source: RNAcentral
UACGUAGGUGGCGAGCGUUAUCCGGAUUUAUUGGGCGUAAAGCGUGCGCAGGCGGUUUGUUAAGUCUAAAAUUAAAGUCCGAAGCUUAACUUCGGUUCGUUUUAGAAACUGGCAGGCUUGAGUAUGGUAGAGGCAAACGGAAUUUCUAGUGUAGCGGUAAAAUGCGUAGAUAUUAGAAGGAACACCAGUGGCGAAGGCGGUUUGCUGGGCCAUUACUGACGCUCAUGCACGAAAGCGUGGGGAGCAAA